Molecule: long non-coding RNA, 1379 nt
Organism: Neopsephotus bourkii (Bourke's parrot)
Lineage: Eukaryota; Metazoa; Chordata; Aves; Psittaciformes; Psittacidae
Exons: 2
Source: RefSeq, a predicted model, not a curated record
AUGCCAUGUUGUGGUUGACCACUGUACUGACCAUAGUCUUUAUUUUUAUAUUUAGUUCAGUAACUUCGUAUAAAUUAGAUGAGAAAGGGUUGUGUUUCCUCCAGCCUGUGACAGGGUUUAGUCUCAGCUGCCUGACACAUCCCCACACACAUCAUGCUCACUCAUGAAUCUUGGUGCCUAGGAACUUUUUACAAUCCCAUCAAAACUUCUCCUGCCUCAGCUAUGUUUCCAGUCAAGUUCAAAGGCACAAAGACAAGCUGAUGCUUGAAUACUGCAUGGACUAAUUAAAAAGCAGUCUUGCCCAGACUAAAACUGGUGACAUAUCUGCUAUUUUUCUUAUGCAUUUAUCGGUGUGUGCUCAGAGCAUCUCAUACACGUUUUGCAAACUUUAUUGUCACAUGUCUGGGUUUGAUAACUGUGACAUGGCUGGCAUGCCUGCUCUGGCACAGGGGAGAGACCUUCAGGCCAUGAGUGAAUGAAAUGCUGCUUUCUUCUGCUCUUCCCUGGCUAUCUGGGGUCUGUGCAAACCCACAAUUGUCUAAGAAGAUUCAUGUGCAUACAUGAACAUGAUUUUUAAAUAACUGGUGGAGAAUUACCACUUAAAUUGGAACUUGGCUUUGUUUGACUUGCUGCCGCUGGGUUGAUGCCACCACUUCUCCCUCCUCCCUUCUGCCCCAGGUUCAUUUAAAUUCCUUCUAAGUGUUGUUCCCUGAUACGUCUUCUUAGCUGGCACAAGGCUUUAUAAGUGCCCAGCUAAUGGCAAAUGGCAACACAGGGAUUUAAUGGCAUUUAGACUGCAUGGACCUGGCUUUCACUUUCAUAACUUCAUAAAUCUGUUAAAUAGCCCACUGUUAAAUAGCAAAAGCUGUAACUCUUCAGAAAAUUAUGGCAUAAUGGUAGUGUAGGAGGCAAAGCUUUCUUAGUCUUGUAUUUCUAGGCAAAGCUCUCAGUGUACUUUUUGCUAUACAGCAAAUACUCAUUUACUGAAAGAAAGCACUUGGUGUGAAAAACAGGCCAAAGAUACUAUCAGUUUCCCAUUACUCCAAGAGUUGUAUUUACUUUGUUUUUUUCAUGUUUUGAAGGUCUUUGAAGGAUGACACCUUUAACAGUAUGUUUUAUACUGUGAGGAAUGAACAAGCACUCUCGCGUGUCUUUGCCUUCUGAAGCUGCAGAGGUUCAGCCACCCUCUAGCCAUGAGCAGCAGAUGAUCUAUGUUAUGGAUGUGUCCAGCAUCACCAUCAUUUGAGAUCUGCAGACUUCCAUCGGGAUUGCCCCAGGCUUCUCUCUGACCCCUACUGUCCAUGCCUCUACCAUCUGUAAAGAACUUUACAUGGUUUUCCAAAGCCAAUAAAUGACAUGUGCUCUGUUUGCUUGAUUGA